Non-coding RNA from Podarcis lilfordi (Lilford's wall lizard), 90 nucleotides. Lineage: Eukaryota; Metazoa; Chordata; Lepidosauria; Squamata; Lacertidae. The record is from the annotation of a GenBank genome assembly.
UGCAACAUGCCAGGCUGCAUCAAUCAUGCUGCGUUAUGUUCUGUCACAUAACAUAACACAAUAUGACUGAUGCCACCCAACAUGACAUGC